UACGAAGGGGGCUAGCGUUGCUCGGAAUCACUGGGCGUAAAGGGUGCGUAGGCGGGUCUUUAAGUCAGGGGUGAAAUCCUGGAGCUCAACUCCAGAACUGCCUUUGAUACUGGAAGUCUUGAGUAUGGGAGAGGUGAGUGGAACUGCGAGUGUAGAGGUGAAAUUCGUAGAUAUUCGCAAGAACACCAGUGGCGAAGGCGGCUCACUGGCCCAUUACUGACGCUGAGGCACGAAAGCGUGGGGAGCAAACAGG
Molecule: ribosomal RNA, 253 nt
Filed under: uncultured bacterium
Lineage: Bacteria
Description: partial 16S ribosomal RNA
Rfam family: Bacterial small subunit ribosomal RNA
Source: RNAcentral